RNAcentral lists this long non-coding RNA (514 nucleotides) under Pan troglodytes (chimpanzee). RNAcentral's name for it is "long non-coding RNA NONPTRT008002". Lineage: Eukaryota; Metazoa; Chordata; Mammalia; Primates; Hominidae. The record is from RNAcentral.
GUCCUGGCCUCGGGACAGCCUGCACAGCUGCCCAGCCUGUGGAGACGGGACAGCCCUGUCCCACUCACUCUUUCCCCUGCCGCUCCUGCCGGCAGCUCCAACCAUGGGAGGCCGCGUCUUUCUCGCAUUCUGUGUCUGGCUGACUCUGCCGGGAGCUGAAACCCAGGACUCCAGGGGCUGUGCCCGGUGGUGCCCUCAGAACUCCUCGUGUGUCAAUGCCACCGCCUGUCGCUGCAGUCCAGGGUUCAGCUCUUUUUCUGAGAUCAUCACCACCCCCACGGAGACUUGUGACGGUACAGAGGCUUGAGGGCAGCGCAGGGGACAUCCGCGAUUAUGAGGCAUUGCCCAGCCAGUGGGGGACAGAGGUUGUUGUGAGGGGCCACAGCCUUACCUUCCAGACUAUCAUCAUGGCCAGAGAAAAGAAAAAGAGGGCAGGCGUGGUGGCUCACGCCUGUAAUCCCAGCACUUUGGGAGGCUGAGGCGGGCAGAUCGUUUGAGGCCAGGAGUACUCAGA